AUGGGACGGCCCGCUGGGCUGUUCCCGCCCCUAUGCCCUUUUUUGGGUUUCCGGCCAGAGGCAUGCUGGGAGCGUCACAUGCAAAUUGAGCGUGCACCCAGCGUUCCGCCCUUUCUACGCUGGGCCGGUUAUCGACCCGGCCCAGUGCGCAGGCGCGGGAAAGUUGAACUAAUAAAGUUUGUACGAGUUCAGUGGAGGAGACCGCAAGUUGAGUGGAGGAGGCGGCGGUGGGGCCCCGGACCAGGUCAGCGGGGUGUUGACGAGGGGUGGGGUGAGGAGGGAAGAGGAGGGGGCCGGGAUCCAGUGGUGGGCACCCCAGUCCCGCUUCUCUGAUAUCCAAGGGUCCAGGGUCCUCUAGAUUCCAGCAGGGGUCGGAGAUUUGGAACUACACCUCACAGCAGGCUGCGCGGCGAAGAAGCGCGGACCUAGGGGAAGAUUUGCCCUGAAACCUCUUGGGAUUGGUAGUUCCCGAUGCUUUAAGGGUUUCAGGAGUUUGGCAUAUGCCUCUUAUAGAAUCCAGGAGUUGGGGCGCUAAGCCUCUUCUUCCUGGGAGACCUAAGGGUCUGGGGCUCCAGUUCCUUUUUCUCUAAGACUCAGAAGUCCAGGACCCCAGCUCCCUCCUCCUUUAGACCCACGAAUCUGGGCACCCAGCCCCACCACCUUUCCUUGGAUCGAAGAGUCUUUUUCCUGAUCGCUUUUUCGUCUGAGGACUCAAGAGUCUAGGCCCCCAGACCCACACUCUCCAAAGGACCCAGGAGUCCAGGCCCUCAGCACCUUCCUUGGGACUCACAAGUCCUGGUCCCCAAGCCUCCACUUCUUGCUAAACCCUUGGAGUCCAGUCCCUAACCCUCUCUCUCACAGGUGCCUCCAUGGCAGGCUCUGAAGAGCUGGGGCUCCGGGAAGACACGCUGAGGGUCCUAGCUGCCUUCCUUAGGCGUGGUGAGGCUGCCGGGUCUCCUGUUCCAACUCCACCUAGGUAAGAGGAGUGGCCCUUCUCCCCCAGGGGCCAGCAUUUGAGGCUCCCUCCUAACUCUUGCUCCUGGUCUCAGUCUGUCUCCUCUCUUUAUAUCUGGCUCUAUUCUCUGUCUUUGGGGUUUUGGAGAGAGGUCCUCAGCGGGGGAGGGAGGGAGUUGGGGAAAGAGACUGCUUGCAGGGGAUCUCUGGUGGGGUCAGUCUCUGAAGUCCUCCUCUCCAGAAGCCCUGCCCAAGAAGAGCCAACAGACUUCCUGAGCCGCCUUCGAAGAUGUCUUCCCUGCUCCCUGGGGCGAGGAGCAGCCCCCUCUGAGUCCCCUCGGCCUUGCUCUCUGCCCAUCCGCCCCUGCUAUGGUUUAGAGCCUGGCCCAGCUACUCCAGACUUCUAUGCUUUGGUGGCCCAGCGGCUGGAACAGCUGGUCCAAGAGCAGCUGAAAUCUCCGCCCAGCCCAGAAUUACAGGGUCCCCCAUCGACAGAGAAGGAAGCCAUACUGCGGAGGCUGGUGGCCCUGCUGGAGGAGGAGGCAGAAGUCAUUAACCAGAAGGUGAUGGGCAUCUGUCCCACUCCUUGGCAAGGACAGGAGUUGCGGAAUGGAGGGCAUCCUGGCUGUUUCACCCGUGGACUUGAACUUGCCAUUGGACUGAGCUCUUUCUCAGAAGCUGCUACAAGAUGACACCUCAUGUCCCUGCCCUCUUCGUGUGCUUUUCCAAGUCUUCCUAUUCCACUCAGGGCUGUGGGGUGGUGGUUGCCCUACCUGUUUUUGCCAAAAAUAAAUUGUUUAAAACUUUUCUUAUUAAAAACGUUACAAAGUA
This 1785-nucleotide unclassified non-coding RNA is filed under the name Homo sapiens (human). Its description in RNAcentral is "BCL2-like 12 (proline rich), transcript variant 17". The record is from RNAcentral. Lineage: Eukaryota; Metazoa; Chordata; Mammalia; Primates; Hominidae.